UAGGGAAUCUUCCACAAUGGACGCAAGUCUGAUGGAGCAACGCCGCGUGAGUGAAGAAGGUUUUCGGACCGUAAAGCUCUGUUGUUGGUGAAGAAGGAUAGAGGUAGUAACUGGCCUUUAUUUGACGGUAAUCAACCAGAAAGUCACGGCUAACUACGUGCCAGCAGCCGCGGUAAUACGUAGGUGGCAAGCGUUGUCCGGAUUUAUUGGGCGUAAAGCGAGCGCAGGCGGAAGAAUAAGUCUGAUGUGAAAGCCCUCGGCUUAACCGAGGAAUUGCAUCGGAAACUGUUUUCUUGAGUGCAGAAGAGGAGAGUAGAACUCCAUGUGUAGCGGUGGAAUGCGUAGAUAUAUGGAAGAAUACCAGUGGCGAAGGCGGCUCUCUGGUCUGCAAACUGACGCUGAGGCUCGAAAGCAUGGGUAGCGAACAGGAUUAGAUACCCUGGUAGUCCAUGCCGUAAACGAUGAGUGCUAAGUGU
Molecule: ribosomal RNA, 476 nt
Filed under: uncultured bacterium
Lineage: Bacteria
Description: partial 16S ribosomal RNA
Rfam family: Bacterial small subunit ribosomal RNA
Source: RNAcentral